This 2203-nucleotide long non-coding RNA is filed under the name Marmota monax (woodchuck). The record is from RNAcentral. Lineage: Eukaryota; Metazoa; Chordata; Mammalia; Rodentia; Sciuridae.
GGGGAAAACAAAAGAGGGGGAAACAUGAAGGUAAGUAGGUCUUUGCACUAGACCUGCAACUUUCAUGUAAAUUUGAAAAUAUCUCUAAGUAAAUUAUUUUUUAAAAUUGCAAAAACUAGUCUUGGGACAAAGGAUUCCUUGUGAUGUUUGAGCAAAAAUAACUCUCUCACAGGGCUAUUUCAGAGAAUUCUUACACUGAAUGGGAAGUUUGAUUGUAUAAUCUAUCAUUUCAAACUCAGAGCAUAUGACUUAUGAAUCAUAGGCUGGUGAUAGUGCAGUGAAGUGAAAUAUGAGUCACAUUCGUAGAAAUUUAAAGGAAUAUUAAGAUGUUAAAGAGAUGUAACAAGAGUAUCCAUUGUUUUGUGAAGGAUUUUUUUUCCAUCCAUCCAUCCAUCAUUUAGUUAUGGAAAGCACAUUCAGGGAACUGUUUUAGACACUGGGUAUUCAUAUUUAAAUAAGAUAUACUUACUCUGUCUUCAGCUUUCUAGAGUGGAGUCACAUUAAACGUGUUGGUUUAUUAAGUAAAAAUUGAAAGAUACCACUAGUUUUUUCUGGUAUAAUUUGGAAAGUCUUUUGCUAGACAUGCUUUACUUUUUGUCCCUCAUGAUGACUUUGUUUGAAGUGAUUAGUCUGAAUUAGUCUGGUUCGUGUAGACAGAACUUCUCUCUAUAGCCUACCAUGUGUGCAAAUCUCUAUCCUGUAUGUAACUUUAAUUCCAUCCUUAAUUAACUUCAGGACCUCUUCUGUGAAAUGAAUUAAAAGGAGCUGUCUCACAAGUACCUUUAAUGAGAAUAGAGCCUUUAACAUUAUAAAAGUUUUUUUAAUCUUAAUAUUUCAAAUAAUUUGGAACAAAAGCAUCCACAAAAAGGAGACAGACAUUUAGUUAUUGUCUUGCUCUUCUUUCAUACUUAAUAGCAUCUAAUUGUGCUAGGCAACUAUCAGGGUCUUGCUUGUCAACUGCGGAUAGAACUGGAGACAUUAUAAACUGCUUCUGAAAUUAACAUUUAGAUUCAAUUAUUUGAGAUCCAUUUUUCUACAGUGAAAGGAACUUGUCACACUAAAACAGGAUGUGUCAUAAUCUUCAAUUCUUGUUUGUAGCAUGCAGAUUUACACUAAAUAUAAUUUAACCUUUUCUCUUUUUAGAACAUUUUCCUCUUAUCAAAAUAUAUGUAGCAAAAUGACAGAGAAAAAUUGAGAUUAAUCCAUGCUUAGUUGGGAAAAAAAAGCUUUUUGAAGCUUUUUUAUUGAUGACAACACCUGCUUUUAGGUUUUUAAAGUUUGGAAUUAAGGACAUUUUUACUAAAAAAAUACUAUCAAAUUCUAAGAAAGGCUAUGGGAUUGUAACUGUGAUCUCUUGAAAUGAUUUUAUGUAUGUUCCUAAGUUCAUUUCUUUUCAGUGGUAGAGGCAAUGGUGUUGAAAUUUAUACCAAGACACUUUGGCCCUCAUUAUGAAUAAUUUUUUUUCUGAUUUUUUUAGUAGCAAGAGUGGUGCAAGGAACAGAUUUGUGAAAACAUUUAAAAGCUUUGCAGUAAUAUUUUAUGGACAAUUUUGGUAUCUUUAUUGUCUAUUAAAAGAGCUUAAGCCAGGGAGGAGAAAUUCAUGGUUAUUGCUUUUUGCUCCCCAAAAGCCAGGAAAAUGCACAUUUUGCUUGAACUGCACUAAUAUAGGUCCUCACAGAACAGCUUCAUUAAAUGAUCUUAAUAAGACAGAGUGGCUGUCUAUGCCAUUGGAAGGCAAAGUAAUGGCCUGUUCCUGAAUAAAUCACAUUAUGAUAUGAGUAAUGUACAGACAUCAUAAUUUGGUAGCCAAGGUUGCUGGUGAUGAAUGUUUUCUGAUGUCACUACAUGGGUAGAAAAGCAUUGAUUGACUGAUAGUCUCAGACAUUCAGACAUAUUAUUUAUGUAUCACAGUGUGGAAUAAAUAAGGAUUGUGUUCUUGUGUUGCACCUCCCUGUUUUUGGACAAUUAUCUCCAAUGAUGUUAAGUUGAAGCUAGAAAAAAAAUAUGUGUAGUUUAGUGAAAGUCAUAUCAGAAUGAAACAUAAGAUUUAGACAACAUUUGCAUAUGCUUAUAUAGUUAUUAAGAAUAUUAAUUAGGAAAUUAUGGUUUAUAACAGGCUUCUCAGUCUAGAAUUAAGUCAUAGCUCUAUUAGAAACUGAAAAGUAUCAACAAGGUCCUUGAAGAAGAAAUUUAAAGAUGAAGU